Molecule: ribosomal RNA, 253 nt
Filed under: uncultured bacterium
Lineage: Bacteria
Description: partial 16S ribosomal RNA
Rfam family: Bacterial small subunit ribosomal RNA
Source: RNAcentral
GACGAACCGUCCGAACGUUAUUCGGAAUCACUGGGCUUACAGAGUUCGUAGGCGGUCUAGCAAGUUGGGUGUGAAAUCCCUUGGCUCAACCAAGGAACUGCGCUUGAUACUGCUAGACUCGAGGGAGAUAGAGGAAAGCGGAACUGAUGGUGGAGCGGUGAAAUGCGUUGAUAUUAUCAGGAACACCGGUGGCGAAGGCGGCUUUCUGGGUCUCUUCUGACGCUGAGGAACGAAAGCUAGGGGAGCGAACGGG